This 508-nucleotide ribosomal RNA is filed under the name uncultured bacterium. RNAcentral describes it as "partial 16S ribosomal RNA". It matches the Rfam family "Bacterial small subunit ribosomal RNA", at positions 28 to 507 of the family's 1533-position model. The record is from RNAcentral.
GACGAACGCUGGCGGCGUGCCUAAUACAUGCCAGUCGAACGCUUCUUUCCUCCCGAGUGCUUGCACUCAAUUGGAAAGCGGAGUGGCGGACGGGUGAGUAACACGUGGGUAACCUACCCAUCAGAGGGGGAUAACACUUGGAAACAGGUGCUAAUACCGCAUAACAGUUUAUGCCGCAUGGCAUAAGAGUGAAAGGCGCUUUCGGGUGUCGCUGAUGGAUGGACCCGCGGUGCAUUAGCUAGUUGGUGAGGUAACGGCUCACCAAGGCCACGAUGCAUAGCCGACCUGAGAGGGUGAUCGGCCACACUGGGACUGAGACACGGCCCAGACUCCUACGGGAGGCAGCAGUAGGGAAUCUUCGGCAAUGGACGAAAGUCUGACCGAGCAACGCCGCGUGAGUGAAGAAGGUUUUCGGAUCGUAAAACUCUGUUGUUAGAGAAGAACAAGGACGUUAGUAACUGAACGUCCCCUGACGGUAUCUAAACAGAAAGCCACGGCUAACUACGUG